UGAGGUAGGCUCAGUAGAUGCG
RNAcentral lists this microRNA (22 nucleotides) under Caenorhabditis remanei. Lineage: Eukaryota; Metazoa; Nematoda; Chromadorea; Rhabditida; Rhabditidae. The record is from RNAcentral.